AAGAGGAGCGUUGUCACAGUGA
RNAcentral lists this microRNA (22 nucleotides) under Haemonchus contortus (barber pole worm). RNAcentral's name for it is "hco-miR-5902-3p". Lineage: Eukaryota; Metazoa; Nematoda; Chromadorea; Rhabditida; Trichostrongylidae. The record is from miRBase by way of RNAcentral.